This 37-nucleotide non-coding RNA is filed under the name Echinostoma caproni. The record is from RNAcentral. Lineage: Eukaryota; Metazoa; Platyhelminthes; Trematoda; Plagiorchiida; Echinostomatidae.
UGCUGAUGAGACCAAACCAGGUCGAAACAGCUGUCCA